This 78-nucleotide transfer RNA is filed under the name Myxococcales bacterium. Its description in RNAcentral is "tRNA-Met". It matches the Rfam family "tRNA". From Rfam's summary of the family: Transfer RNA (tRNA) molecules are approximately 80 nucleotides in length. Their secondary structure includes four short double-helical elements and three loops (D, anti-codon, and T loops). The record is from RNAcentral. Lineage: Bacteria; Pseudomonadati; Myxococcota; Myxococcia; Myxococcales.
CGCGGAGUGGAGCAGCCUGGUAGCUCGUCGGGCUCAUAACCCGAAGGCCGUCGGUUCAAAUCCGACCUCUCGCAACCA